Non-coding RNA from Myodes glareolus (Bank vole), 698 nucleotides. The record is from RefSeq and is a predicted model, not a curated record. NCBI's taxonomy places the organism in Eukaryota, Metazoa, Chordata, Mammalia, Rodentia, Cricetidae.
AGAGGAAGUAAAACUUUCCCAUUUGGAUACAGAAAGAUGUUUUUGGUUUAACAUAUUCUUGUAUUAAUUCCAUACAUUUGUUGUGCUACUUAGGUUUUUUGUCAACUUGACAUACACUAGAGUCACAUGGGAAGAGAGGUCCUUAACAGAGAAAAAUGUCUCCAUCAGUUUGGCCUAUAGGCAUGUCUGUAGGACAUCUUCUUGACUGAUUGAUGUGGAAGAGCCCCAGCCCACUGUGGGCAAUAUCACCCCUGGGAGGUGGUCUGGGAGUACAAGAAAGCAGGCUGAGCAAGAUAUGAGGAGCAAGCCAGUAGCAGCACCCCUCCACGCCUCUGCUUCAGCUCCUGCCUCCAGGUUCCUGCCCUGACUUCUCUCAGUGAUGAGCUGAGAUCAGGACAUGUGAGCCAAAUACACCCUUUCCUAACCAGGUGUGUUCGUCCCAUGUCCAUCCAUCCGUUCCAUCCCGUGUCCUCCCCUCCCAGCCUUGUCUCAGAUCAGCAUGACUACCUGUCUGAUGGGUUUCCUCGGGGCAAGACACCCGUGGAAACAGACUCUCACUUGGCAAGGACCAGUAGUCCACUGGACAGUGUAGGAAUCUGUUAAAUUCAUGUAGCUUGCGGGCUCUUUCAUCUCUCGUUAUAUUGUUACUUAGGUGGUUUUUAGUUUUAUUUUAUCAGUCACAUGUACAACAAGCUGCA